Molecule: long non-coding RNA, 318 nt
Organism: Chiroxiphia lanceolata (lance-tailed manakin)
Lineage: Eukaryota; Metazoa; Chordata; Aves; Passeriformes; Pipridae
Exons: 4
Source: RefSeq, a predicted model, not a curated record
AGAAAGGAGUCAAACAUCAGCCCCAAGGUCACCUCUCGUGGUUUCCUGUGGUGUCAACCCUCCACCAGAACUUCUGGAAUCAAUAUUAAAAGGAAGGGAAAUUGGGAGCAGCACAAUAACUGCACUCCAGUUACUUCAUUCACCUUGCUCUGCUUGUUCAGUCUUCAAAGGUUGCUGCAUGGUUGUAGAAACCAGAGCAGUUUCCACCAGAGCUGACCUCCAGAGCUGUCCAGUGACCUUCCAGGCACAUCCCUCUUGCUUUCAGGAUCAGGGACACACCACCGUGUUCUUGACCAUCACCUCAUACUCCAAUCAAGA